This is a long non-coding RNA of Ictalurus furcatus (blue catfish), 1730 nucleotides long. RefSeq lists it as uncharacterized. The record is from RefSeq and is a predicted model, not a curated record. The transcript has 3 exons. NCBI's taxonomy places the organism in Eukaryota, Metazoa, Chordata, Actinopteri, Siluriformes, Ictaluridae.
GAGCGUGUUGAGGUGAUGGUGGUGGAUAUUUAAACCUCAUGUGCUCAGGACAAAGUAAAACAACUGAGCUGAAAUGACAGGUGUAUUUUUAUGGUAAGCCGUGGUUUUCCUGUGAGCUGGUGUGAGAAAGAUCUCUGUCUCGUCUGUGGUCUCACUCUGUAUGAGAAAUGGUACGGUCUGUCCUCCUAAUUUUCUCUUUCUCAAGGUUUGUUUUCAUUUAUGAAGCAUUCGUACAUAUUUAUAUGUAUAUUUAAUGUUAUUAAAUGUAUUAAAUUUUGCUACUCUUGAAACGAGUGUCUCGAUGCUUUCACUUCAUCCAGGAGCUGUGAAAUGGCGCUGCUCGUCCUCCUGUUCUUCUUCCAUCUGAUUCUGGACAUUAACUCUCAAUGUGAGUCGUUAUUGUGGUGCUGUGAGUUCAGUGAUUUGUUCUAAUAGAUGUUUACAAAUAAUUCUAGAGAUUUUGAGAGAUACUUCUGCAUGUUCAGUUUGAUGUUCAGUGUGUGUAUUAAGUGGACUGUGUGAUUUGUGUGUGUGGUUGUAGAUGUUCCUCAGCCCCGGCUGUCCGUGACUCCUGAAGUUCUCACAGAGAGAGGAUCAGUGCAGAUUCACUGUCAUGUUCCAGACAAUGUUAAAGUGCAUCAGUGUUAUUUCUACCCAGAGAGAGACAACAGAAAUAUAAAACUCUCUCCAUCAUGUCAGCUCUCAGUCACUGGUUCUGAACUGAUCAGGUGGACAGGACGAAGUUCUCCUGGAACACUUCAUAUUACUUGUUACUAUGCUUUGGAUAACUCUGUUCGUAAUCCUUCUCCUCACUCUCUCCCAGCUCCAGUCACAGUGCUGAGUAAGCUCUACAUUACGUGUAUCUUUAUAAUAUAUGUGCAUUCUGUGUAUUAAUAUCUGCAUGAAUCAUAAAAUUACAUUCAUGUUCCUUAAUGCUAUUUUUGGUGUAAUUUAUUGAUUGAUUGAUUUUAUUUAUUCCUCUGCAGAUCAGAAACCGAGACUAAGCGUCAGUCAUGAUGGUCAGUUUGAUGUAUUCAGAUUUGUGUGUGAAAUAUCAGGGUCAGAGUCAGUAACUGCUGAUUUUAGCUGUAAUCUCUACACUGGAGAAAAUCCUCAGCCUUAUGUAAAGACAGGAUCUCAGAAGGCAGUUUGUAGAUUUACAGCAGAGAAAAAUGAUCUGUUUAAUCGUCUGCAGUCAGUAAAGAGUCGUGAAGUGAGCUGUGAUUAUUCACUGAUCUCUGACCCGACUGCUCGCUCUCUAAUGAGUGAUAAAUACAACAUGAUGCGUAAGUUAUAAUAAACAAAUUAUGUAUUCCAUUACUUUAUACCUUUGAAUAAUUUGAACUCAUUUUCAUUUCAUCUUUUGUCAGAUUUCUUUACAACAUCAACAACAACAACAACGACUCAGGCAUCCACUCCUGAAGAGAAACCCAGUGCAGAUUUGAGUCUGGUAACGACGCCACCAUCCACAGCUACGGAGGAAUCUACAGCAGCUUCUCCAGUUUUUUCAACUCCUCUGAUCACCACAAGACUCACAGCGACUCGUAAGUUUACUGUGUAGUAGGUCUUACUAUGAAACUAGAAACACUUAAACACCAGACACACACCUUUAAAACAGUUCCUGCUGUAACAGUUAAUGCAUUCAACUUGUUAUAUACUGUAGUGUAUAUUGCUGGAGUGAACAACCAGUGCUCCUAACAGUGAGUCACUAACUCAUAUAUAACAGUGAU